UACGGAGGAUGCAAGCGUUAUCCGGAUUUAUUGGGUUUAAAGGGUGCUCAGGUUGUUUGAUAAGUCAGUGGUGAAAGUCUGUCGCUUAACGGUAGGAUUGCCAUUGAUACUGUUGGACUUGAAUAUGGAUGAGGUAGGCGGAAUGUGUAGUGUAGCGGUGAAAUGCAUAGAUAUUACACAGAACACCGAUUGCGAAGGCAGCUUACUAAUCCAUCAUUGACGCUGAGGCACGAAAGCGUGGGGAUCAAACA
RNAcentral lists this ribosomal RNA (251 nucleotides) under uncultured prokaryote. RNAcentral's name for it is "partial 16S ribosomal RNA". It matches the Rfam family "Bacterial small subunit ribosomal RNA", at positions 524 to 774 of the family's 1533-position model. The record is from RNAcentral.